CGGAGGCGGCGGCGAUUUACGAAAAACAGCCGCUGCGGCCCCGUGAUCUCCAGGAACCCGGAACCACAAUGUUGAAGCUCUGUAGCCUGUCGGGACCAGGCCGGCGCCCACAUCCCGGAAAUGAUUGGCAUACCAAAACAUGAUCUUCUGCCUGUAAAAAUCACAGAUUAAGAAUCAUCUGCAUGCAGCCAUAGGGACAAAUCCAGGGAUAAUCUGGACAAUCUACUUCUUCAUGGAUCUGAAAAUAUAUUGGAAGAUGGUGAUGAUGACAGUUAACAAGCACAACAAAGAGAUUUGUCAGUUAGUGAAAACAGGCAGCAUACAAAUGAUUGUAAAUAAAUGUUUAUUUACCACUGCUCAUUUAAAGUCCUAAUAGAAUCAAUUACAGGCACAGUCCACAAGGACAGUCCUUAGGGAGAUUACUGACAUUAUCGGAAGUAAUACAGUUGAAUAACUACUUUUUUCAAAAUGUUCUGCUCCAGUUCCGGAUUUCCAAAGAUAUUUACACACAUCAGCGGUCCUUAUCAAAUUUAAUAAGUAGCAAGAAUAAACAAGACCGGCAAAGGUUGGCAACCAGCCCAGAAAAUAAGAUAUGAUAAAUCAAAAUACUCUGAUAAUCAAUACGAGUUGUUUCCAGCAAGAAAGUACUAGCUGUGUGCAACUUAAAUAGGCUAAGGGAGUGGCCAAUUAUCCUCAAGCCCUACUCUUGAGUAGACCUCCUCCUCCUGAGUAGCCACUCCUGCCUUUUGGCAACCCUGCAUGCUUGAGCAUUGAGGAGAGGCUUCUCCACUUCGCUCUCUCCACUUGAAGGAACCUCUGGAGGUUCUGAAGGCCCUGGCUGGGUCUCUGCCUCUGGCACCACAUCCUCUUCAGCCUCCUCGCUGUCCAACACGAGUGCUGGCUGCGCAGGCUGCUGGCGCGACACCACACCAGCCUCCUCUUCGUCGGGAUCAGCCACGAUUCGCGCAGGCCGUUGGCGGGCCACAACACAAAAGUUCUAUCUGUGUUUAUUGAACUUGCCUAAUGGACAAUAUCAGAAUGCGGCAAUGUGGAGUCUCUGUUCAUGCUCCAGCUAAUCAGCUAUGUCUUCUACCUAGAUAUUCCAUUUCCUUCCCUCCCAAAUAUAGUUAGCAUAUAAUGGUGACUGGGUGUGUGCAAAUUCCCUCCCACCCUGCUCAAACACCUGCACAACUACAACACACCGCUAGUUUGGUGGUGCAUUUUGGCUAUAUAAAAAUAAGCUGUCAAGAGAAUUGAUAUCACAAUUAAUAUAUUAAAGAUAGACAAUUUAAAACUGCUAAUCUUUCAUCAUUAUAUUACUGUAAUGGUCUGUGAGAAUAAACUUGGGGAGAGGAGGAGGAGGAAGAGCUGCAAUAGUUAGACAAGUCAGUAGUUAAACAAGAGCUAUCUCAGCUCACUGAAGGAAUGAACGUGUGGGAAGUGACUCAGAAGGGACACUCAAUAGUUCUCUGGAAAAUAACAGCAAGGAAGGGAAGAAGAGGUUUCAGAUUUGCAAA
This is a long non-coding RNA of Pantherophis guttatus, 1517 nucleotides long. RefSeq lists it as uncharacterized. NCBI's taxonomy places the organism in Eukaryota, Metazoa, Chordata, Lepidosauria, Squamata, Colubridae. The record is from RefSeq and is a predicted model, not a curated record.